This 232-nucleotide long non-coding RNA is filed under the name Manihot esculenta (cassava). Its description in RNAcentral is "long non-coding RNA (MESC_LNC012928)". The record is from RNAcentral. Lineage: Eukaryota; Viridiplantae; Streptophyta; Magnoliopsida; Malpighiales; Euphorbiaceae.
CGGCAUCGGAAUCCCUACCUUCCGGCGGAAUCUCCGUUGGAAUAUGGAAUUUUGAUGAUGCCAGAGUCUUCUAGAGGGGUAAAAUGUGAUUUUCUAAAAUGAUUUUACUGAUUUCAUGGUUUUAAAUGAAAAAGAAGGGAGUUUUGAAAAGAAAAGACUAAGGAGGUUUUUGCCAGGUUCGGCCGCCGAAAGUGAAGUUCGGCCGCCGAACAUGAGUUGGUUUUGGGAGCGC